UGGGGCAUAUUGCACAAUGGGGGAAACCCUGAUGCAGCGACGCCGCGUGAUUUAGAAGGCCUUCGGGUUGUAAAAAUCUUUUGUAUAGGAAGAAAAUGCCCGUACUAUACGAAUAAGGACCGGCUAAUUACGUGCCAGCAGCCGCGGUAAUACGUCGGUCCCGAGCGUUGUCCGGAUUUAUUGGGCGUAAAGCGAGCGCUGGCGGUUAGUUAAGUCUGAAGUUAAAGGCAGUGGCUCAACCAUUGUAGGCUUUGGAAACUGUUUAACUUGAGUGUGGAAUGGGAGGGUGAAAUUCAAUGUGUAGCGGGGAAAUGUGUAGAUAUAUGGAGGAACACCGGUGGCGAAAGCGGCUCUCUUGUCUGUAACUGACGAAGAGGUUCGAAAGCGUGGGGAGCGAACAGG
This 402-nucleotide ribosomal RNA is filed under the name Bacteroidota bacterium. RNAcentral's name for it is "Bacteroidetes bacterium partial 16S ribosomal RNA". It matches the Rfam family "Bacterial small subunit ribosomal RNA", at positions 355 to 776 of the family's 1533-position model. Lineage: Bacteria; Pseudomonadati; Bacteroidota. The record is from RNAcentral.